Molecule: long non-coding RNA, 210 nt
Filed under: Elaeis guineensis (African oil palm)
Lineage: Eukaryota; Viridiplantae; Streptophyta; Magnoliopsida; Arecales; Arecaceae
Description: long non-coding RNA (EGUI_LNC006165)
Source: RNAcentral
CUGCUAUAUCCUAAAUAAAGUUUCUCCUAAAGAUAAAAAAAAAUAUCCUUUGAACUGUGGAAAGGACAUCUUUCUAAGUUUAGUUACUUCCGAGUUUGAGGGUGCUUGGUUAAAGUUGGAAUUCCUAAAUCAAAAAGAGUUAACAUAGGACCUAAAACUGUUGAUACUAUUUUUGUUGACUACUCUUUAGAUAGUAAUGCUUAUGGGUUC